CCUACGGGUGACAGCAGUGAGGAAUAUUGGUCAAUGGGCUUAAGCCUGAACCAGCCAAGUCGCGUGAGGGAAUACUGCCCUACGGGUUGUAAACCUCUUUUGCCAGGGAGCAAUUGCGGCGACGUGUCGCGUCCCGGAGAGUACCCGGAGAAAAAGCAUCGGCUAACUCCGUGCCAGCAGCCGCGGUAAUACGGAGGAUGCGAGCGGUAUCCGGAUUUAUUGGGUUUAAAGGGUGCGUAGGCGGGAUUUUAAGUCAGCGGUAAAAUUUCGGGGCUCAACCCCGUCCGGCCGUUGAAACUGGGGGCCUUGAGUGGGCGAGAAGAAGGAGGAAUGCGUGGUGUAGCGGUGAAAUGCAUAGAUAUCACGCAGAACCCCGAUUGCGAAGGCAGC
This 390-nucleotide ribosomal RNA is filed under the name uncultured bacterium. RNAcentral's name for it is "partial 16S ribosomal RNA". It matches the Rfam family "Bacterial small subunit ribosomal RNA", at positions 338 to 725 of the family's 1533-position model. The record is from RNAcentral.